RNAcentral lists this ribosomal RNA (353 nucleotides) under uncultured bacterium. RNAcentral's name for it is "bacterial SSU rRNA". It matches the Rfam family "Bacterial small subunit ribosomal RNA", at positions 199 to 533 of the family's 1533-position model. The record is from RNAcentral.
CAGGAAAGCAGGGGAUCGCAAGACCUUGCGCUGAUUGAGCGACCGAUAUCAGAUUAGCUAGUUGGUGAGGUAAAGGCUCACCAAGGCGACGAUCUGUAGCGGGUCUGAGAGGAUGAUCCGCCACACUGGAACUGAGACACGGUCCAGACUCCUACGGGAGGCAGCAGUGGGGAAUUUUGGACAAUGGGGGCAACCCUGAUCCAGCCAUGCCGCGUGAGUGAAGAAGGCCUUCGGGUUGUAAAGCUCUUUCGUCCGGGAAGAAAUCGCAUCAGCUAAUACCUGGUGUGGAUGACGGUACCGGAAUAAGAAGCACCGGCUAACUACGUGCCAGCAGCCGCGGUAAUACAAUCACU